AGUGUUAUGUUAUGGCUUCUGCAAGCAUUGAUUAAACUCCCCAGUGUUCAUGAAGGCUGACAGGGAUUCAAAGGAGGAAAUGUAAAACUUGAAGUUCCUGAACCAUCAUCCUACUACAGCUACACUAGAAGACUGCAAAUAAUAUGCAUGCAACAACCCUUUUCUGCAUUAAGGUGUGAGGAUGGACAGUGGAGAAUAUUAUAGGAAAGGGUCUUUCUCUUGUCUAAGUGUCAUAAUGCUCUCCCUAGAUCCCUGGAAAAACAAGCAGUGUCAGUGAAUGCCCGAGGUUUUCAUGAAGAUCAGAAGCAGGACAGGAUCUGACCCAGUGUGGCC
This is a long non-coding RNA of Pipra filicauda (Wire-tailed manakin), 333 nucleotides long. RefSeq lists it as uncharacterized. The transcript is spliced from 3 exons. The record is from RefSeq and is a predicted model, not a curated record. Lineage: Eukaryota; Metazoa; Chordata; Aves; Passeriformes; Pipridae.